AUGCCUCGGAAAGGUAGGAGAUCCCAGGCUCAAAAAGUUUGUUGGAGAAAGUUAGACCUGACAGGACAGACGAGCAUCAGUAAAGGUGUUGCUCAGGUUUCUGAUGGACAGCAGUACGAAGAUGGCAACAACACAUCUAGAAUUCUAUCCGUGCAGGCGUCUCAUUGCCAGAGUGAUGCAAGGUAUGAUGUUUUCUCACGAAAUCAUCAGUGCACGUGUGUAGCUCUGACAUUCCUUGCGUACCACAGUGAGGGAACUUUGUUCGAACAGCCUGAUCUUGACAGAGUGCUAGAGGAAGGGGAUGCUUUGUAUGUUGGCAUUAAAAUGCAGCUUAUUGCUGAAGGAAGAUUCCGACAGGAUCUUCUAAGCAUGAGUGAAGUACCUGUGAGCAUCUCAACUUCUAACCACAACUACAGUGUCCAAAAGUCAGAAGUGUUGAUGGGAUAUCUGAGAGACAGAGGAACUCCUGAAAUGGACGCGUGGUGGAUUCCUCUUGACGAAAGACUUCAGUGUCUCUCAACAGAUGUCAGCCAUGCACUGCUUAUUGUUUCUCCAGAGUGCUUUGCUGUGUUCAGAGACAGUUCUGGAAGAUAUGGAUUUUUUGAUUCACAUUCCAGAACUGCUGAAGGUUUGCCACAUCCUACUGGUGACGGAACCGCAGUUAUGCUAACUUUCACCAACUUGCAUGACAUGACCAACAGAUUACUUGAGCUUUUUUGGAAUCGUGGUCCUCAGGCUUGCUAUGAGUUCAUGGCUGUUUCAUUUGAAAUGGAGCAACAGGCUGAGGAACCAUGCUCAUCAGCAGCAUGUGUGUCACCAUCAGAAGUAACUUCAUCUCUGCCAAAAACACAAACAAAUGCUGAUGUCAGAAUCCCUGAAAAUGUUGUUCUGACAGAUGACAAAAACAAAAGUGUCAUAAAGCUUUUGAAAACAAACAAGCAGCGAAGAAGAAAAGAAAUGCGUAAAAUUGUUUAUGAAAAGCAAGAUGCAGGACUAGAGGCUACAUCUUCACAUUUUGAAGUACGAAAACAAAAAAGAAGAGAAUAUGAGAGAGAGAAAUAUGCCACCAAUUUGCAGUUUCGGAUGAAGAAAAAGGAGAUUACCAAAAAGAAGUAUGAUCAAGAUCCUUUUGCCAGACACAAAAAGAUGGAAUACAUUACCAGGAGGUACAACACAGAUGUUCUCUUUCAAAAAAAGCAGAAGGGGUACAUAAUUAAGCGGUACCACACUGAUGCUCUUUUCCAAAGGAAAAUGAAGAACUACAUGGUCACGAGGUACAAGACAGAUGCUCUUUUCCAGAACAAAAUGAAGGACUACAUGUUCAGGAAGUACAAGAUUGAUGAUCUUUUCCAGAAGAAGAAGAAGGACUACAUGUUCAGGAGGUACAAGACCGAUGAUCUUUUCCAGAAGAAGAAGAAGGACUACAUGGUCAGGAGGUACAACACUGAAGAUCUUUUCCAGAAGAAGAAGAAGGACUACUUGGUCAGGAGGUACCACACUGAUGAUCUUUUCCAGAAGAAGAUGAAGGACUACUUGGCCAGAAGAUAUGCAAGUGAUUCAAAGUUUAGGUCACAUCACAUUCUACGUUGUACUCUCCAGAAGAAACAAAAGUGUCUCACCGAUCCUGGAUUCCAGAUUCUUCACAAGUUGAGAUGUGCAUUAAGGAUCAAGAGAAAAUACAAGCCAUACAUUUGUUCCAGCCAGGAUACACCCAAUUCUGAUGUGACAAACCAGCCUGUGUCCAACAGCUUAAUACAAAAGGCCAUAUCUGCAUUUCGG
This is a long non-coding RNA of Cyprinus carpio (common carp), 1779 nucleotides long. The record is from Ensembl. Lineage: Eukaryota; Metazoa; Chordata; Actinopteri; Cypriniformes; Cyprinidae.